Molecule: transfer RNA, 72 nt
Filed under: Camelus bactrianus (Bactrian camel)
Lineage: Eukaryota; Metazoa; Chordata; Mammalia; Artiodactyla; Camelidae
Also listed under: 2 other names
Rfam family: tRNA
About the family: Transfer RNA (tRNA) molecules are approximately 80 nucleotides in length. Their secondary structure includes four short double-helical elements and three loops (D, anti-codon, and T loops). Further hydrogen bonds mediate the characteristic L-shaped molecular structure. tRNAs have two regions of fundamental functional importance: the anti-codon, which is responsible for specific mRNA codon recognition, and the 3' end, to which the tRNAs corresponding amino acid is attached (by aminoacyl-tRNA synthetases). tRNAs cope with the degeneracy of the genetic code in two manners: having more than one tRNA (with a specific anti-codon) for a particular amino acid; and 'wobble' base-pairing, i.e. permitting non-standard base-pairing at the 3rd anti-codon position.
Source: Rfam by way of RNAcentral
GUGGGUAUAGCUCAGUGGUAGAGUGCAUGCCUAGCAUGCAUGAGGUCCUGGGUUCAAUACCCAGUAGCCACC